CUAAAUCACAUUUCUUCAAAGGAGGCUCCUUUCUCUGUGAUAACUCCAGCUUGUGUCAAGUUGACACACAAAACCAACAAGUAAAAAUGUGUAUGAGUAUUUUGCCUUCGAGUACAUGUGUGUACCAUAUGCAUGCAUGCCUGGUGUUCACAGUGAUCAGAAGGUGUCAGACCCCCUGGAACUGGAGUCAUUUGUGGUUACAUUGAGUCUUGGUCCUCAGCAACAGCCAACUCUUUAGCCCUGCUUCUGCUUUCUAUGCCAGCAAUUGUAAACUUUCAUGGCUUUUCCUUCCAGCCCACCUCUACUCUUCUGCAAUAUUUUUACCCCCUACUAUAGGACCCCCUACUAUAGGACCCCCUACUAUAGCAGGGAUUUUCUAUGCAGUCUGAAAUUUCUGUUCUGAUGAAGGUCCCAGCCACAGUUGCUGAACAGAGUGAGUCCUAUCUCAAACUGUUCCCGAGGAGGAAGGGACCAUGUUUCAAGGGAGUGAGUAUACACAAAGUUCUGUGGAAAAAAUACAGUUUGUCCACUGUCACUCACAUGGGUGGGCUGGGAGAUGUUGGUAUAAACUUUUAUAUAGUAAUAGGAGUGGUGGAAAACUGUUCCCUUUCUUUUUGACCAGAAAACAUCCUGCAAUAGAGCAAGACUCGACUGGAGGAUCAUUAUUCUUCCCUAGCUGCUUCCAGCUAGCCCCACUUCCAAGAGUCUUCUGGGCAACCAGAAAUAGCCUGCAGACCAAGAUUUUAUCUCCGAGUCCUUGC
Molecule: long non-coding RNA, 761 nt
Filed under: Rattus norvegicus (Norway rat)
Lineage: Eukaryota; Metazoa; Chordata; Mammalia; Rodentia; Muridae
Description: long non-coding RNA NONRATT014229
Source: RNAcentral